AAUCCAUAGGUUAAUGAGGCGAACCGGGGGAACUGAAACAUCUAAGUACCCCGAGGAAAAGAAAUCAACCGAGAUUCCCCCAGUAGCGGCGAGCGAACGGGGAGGAGCCCAGAGCCUGAAUCAGCAUGUGUGUUAGUGGAAGCGUCUGGAAAGGCGCGCGAUACAGGGUGACAGCCCCGUACACAAAAGCGCAUGUGCUGUGAGCUCGAUGAGUAGGGCGGGACACGUGGUAUCCUGUCUGAAUAUGGGGGGACCAUCCUCCAAGGCUAAAUACUCCUGACUGACCGAUAGUGAACCAGUACCGUGAGGGAAAGGCGAAAAGAACCCCGGCGAGGGGAGUGAAAAAGAACCUGAAACCGUGUACGUACAAGCAGUGGGAGCCCCACCACCAAAGCAUUCUC
Molecule: ribosomal RNA, 401 nt
Filed under: Salmonella enterica subsp. enterica serovar Infantis
Lineage: Bacteria; Pseudomonadati; Pseudomonadota; Gammaproteobacteria; Enterobacterales; Enterobacteriaceae
Description: partial 23S ribosomal RNA
Rfam family: Bacterial large subunit ribosomal RNA
Source: RNAcentral